RNAcentral lists this ribosomal RNA (465 nucleotides) under uncultured bacterium. Its description in RNAcentral is "partial 16S ribosomal RNA". It matches the Rfam family "Bacterial small subunit ribosomal RNA", at positions 338 to 795 of the family's 1533-position model. The record is from RNAcentral.
CCUACGGGAGACAGCAGUAGGGAAUCUUCCACAAUGGACGAAAGUCUGAUGGAGCAACGCCGCGUGAGUGAAGAAGGGUUUCGGCUCGUAAAGCUCUGUUGGUAGUGAAGAAAGAUAGAGGUAGUAACUGGCCUUUAUUUGACGGUAAUUACUUAGAAAGUCACGGCUAACUACGUGCCAGCAGCCGCGGUAAUACGUAGGUGGCAAGCGUUGUCCGGAUUUUUUGGGGGUAAAGCGGGUGCAGGCGGUUCAAUAAGUCUGAUGUGAAAGCCUUCGGCUCAACCGGAGAAUUGCAUCUGAAACUGUUGGUCUUGAGUGCAGGAGAGGAGAGUGGAACUCCAUGUGUAGCGGUGAAAUGCGUAGAUAUAUGGAAGAACACCAGUGGCGAAGGCGGCUCUCUGGUCUGCAACUGACGCUGAGGCUCGAAAGCAUGGGUAGCGAACAGGAUUAGAUACCCCAGUAGUC